ACCAAGGAGCUGGUGUAGUACCCAGGGGGCCUGCCUCCUGACCGGGCUCUGCCAUAACGGUGGGCAUUAGCUACGUCUCUCCGAACUGCAGGUGUCUCUUGAAAGUCCCUUCUAUCCUCAAAAACAUGAUAAGAUGCCUUUUUGCUCCACUACCCCCAAUCUGAUGGUUCCAGGCUCCUGGCUCAGUAAUGAUGGUGUCUGAGAACUGGCAGCUGCACCAAUGCUUUCCUCAGGUCUUGAUCUCAGGGUUGUGGCACAGAAGGAAGAGCCCAGAACCUGGAAGAGGGGCAGCUGGGAUGGAUGAUCCUUGCUUAGAGAUUGCCCUCCCGCAGGACCUGGGUCUUGUGUUGGUUUUUAGGAAACAGGUGACAGACAUCAUCAUCUCUAAAAAGAGAUAGCAAAAGGUAACUGAAAUAAUCCUCCAAUAGACUUUCUUUGUAUGCCAAAUCUCAAUACAGCUGAUUAUUCUCCA
This is a long non-coding RNA of Prionailurus viverrinus (fishing cat), 472 nucleotides long. RefSeq lists it as uncharacterized. NCBI's taxonomy places the organism in Eukaryota, Metazoa, Chordata, Mammalia, Carnivora, Felidae. The transcript has 2 exons. The record is from RefSeq and is a predicted model, not a curated record.